Long non-coding RNA from Chinchilla lanigera (long-tailed chinchilla), 1284 nucleotides. RefSeq lists it as uncharacterized. Lineage: Eukaryota; Metazoa; Chordata; Mammalia; Rodentia; Chinchillidae. The transcript has 4 exons. The record is from RefSeq and is a predicted model, not a curated record.
GCGGGUCCCAGGGCAGGAUGCUGAAGGCGGGACCUGUGCUGGGAGCCGCUGAUGGCUGCACGUGGGAUUGUGCCUUUUGUUGUUCCAGCUUACAGGACAGGAACUUUUUAAACUCCUCGGAAUCCUUGCCCUGGUCCUGGGAGCCUGUUCUUCGGAUGCUGGCCAUCUUGCUGCAUGAUAUUUAGAAGCUGCCAGCUUUCUACCCAGCCACUCUAAUCCUUCACAGUCCCAAGGCACGUUUCCCUUCACGGCAGGAUGAUGAGCACCCUUGUUUGGAUGGAGAGGAGAGUGACGUGAUUAGACCCAGUCCACAGGCUGAAAGUAGCACCUUGAAGAGCAAAUUUCCUUGGCCACAUGCUUCCGUUGUGAUUGACUGGCUCACCCCUGCGCCACGCCUUCAUUUGUAUGCACAAAUUUCUUGAGAAAGGUGCUGUUUUCUAGGGUCUUGAUGAUUAAACAAGAAAAGAAAGUUAAGAAGGUCAUAGAAAGGACUGCUUGAGAGCUCCAGUUCUGCUAAGAGAAGCUCUCCCGCCUCCUUCCUUGAAAAUCUCAGAGAAAAACAGUCACAGCUCCUCAGGGCUCACGCCCACUCCUGGGAAACUGGUCUGUCCUGGCUGCAGGAACUGCUCAGGAACAGAACAGUGAGGGACAGAGAAAAGUGUUUUUUGAGAGAAAGACGAGGAAUUCGUCUUUGACUGCACUCACCUCUCAGGAGGAAGAGGGCUGCUCACCAGGGCUCUGUCAUGUUCGGUGAUACAGGACAACUACCCGUGUGGGGCGGGACCGGCGGGUCUACCUGCGACCUUCUCAUGCUUCUUCACUUGGGGACACCUGGGAUUCUGGCUGUAAGAACUGAAGCAGCUACUCUUCUUGAGAAGUUCCUACUUUUAUAAAGGUGGAGAUAAAAUACAUUUCUUGGGCUCUCGCUGUCCAUCUGAUUUUUGCAUUUGCUCCUCUGCCUUUGGGGCUCCACCUUUGGUUCCCAGGCUGCUUCUGGCCAGGGCAAAAAGGUUCCUCUGGGUGAUUCACACCGGCAUUUGGAUUCCAAGCCUCAUAAUAAAUGCUGGCUAUUGCUUGCUUUGGUCUUGGGGAGCUAUGGGAUUGAGGUCUGGAUUCCAUGGCCAACACCUGUGUGUUCUUUGCACUUUCCCAAGGUGCAGUCCGAUUAGGGGAGUUACCAUGGAGAUUACGCAAGCUCACAGGAAGUAUUCCCUCACUUCUCUUCGCAAUCUAUGCUGUGAUUGUGAAGGUGUGCCAAGAGAACAACCUUAACAUUGCCAUAAA